AAGGCCUUAGCUUAAUUAAAGUGUCUGGGUUGCAUUCAGAAGAUGUGGUAUGAAGUUCCGCAGGUUUUA
Molecule: transfer RNA, 69 nt
Filed under: Triplophysa nasobarbatula
Lineage: Eukaryota; Metazoa; Chordata; Actinopteri; Cypriniformes; Nemacheilidae
Also listed under: 5 other names
Description: tRNA-Ala
Rfam family: tRNA
About the family: Transfer RNA (tRNA) molecules are approximately 80 nucleotides in length.
Source: RNAcentral